AGCCUUGAAAUCAAUUUUUACUUAAUAUACACAUGCAAGUCUCCGCCCACCUGUGAAAACGCCCUUAAACCCCCUUUAGGGACAAGGAGCUGGUAUCAGGCACAAAAAUUUGCCCAAAACACCUAGCUUUGCCACACCCACAAGGGAAUUCAGCAGUGAUUAACAUUGAAUAUAAGCGUAAGCUUGAUUCAGUUAAAGUAAAUUAGGGCCGGCUAAUCUGGUGCCAGCCGCCGCGGUUACACCAUGUGGCCCAAAUUGUUUUCUAUCGGCGUAAAACGUGAUUAAAGCUAACAUUAUUAUAGAGUUAAACUUAGAUUAAGCUGUGACACGCCUAUCCCUAAGAAAAUCUCAAACGAAAGUUACUCUAACUCAAUCAACUUGAAUUCACGACAACUGGGGAACAAACUG
This 408-nucleotide ribosomal RNA is filed under the name Atelopus moropukaqumir. Its description in RNAcentral is "partial small subunit ribosomal RNA". The record is from RNAcentral. Lineage: Eukaryota; Metazoa; Chordata; Amphibia; Anura; Bufonidae.